RNAcentral lists this ribosomal RNA (441 nucleotides) under uncultured bacterium. RNAcentral's name for it is "partial 16S ribosomal RNA". It matches the Rfam family "Bacterial small subunit ribosomal RNA", at positions 338 to 795 of the family's 1533-position model. The record is from RNAcentral.
CCUACGGGGGGCAGCAGUGGGGAAUAUUGCACAAUGGGGGAAACACUGAUGCAGCAAAGCCGCGUGAGGGAGGAAGUAUUACGGUAUGGAAAGCUCUAUCAGCAGGGAAUAGAAAAGAAGGUACCGUAAAAAGAAGCGCCGACUAACGACGUGCGAACAGCCGCGGUAAGACGUAGGGGGCAAGGUUUAUCCGGAUUUACUGGGUUUAAAGGGAGCGUAGACGGAAAGGCAAGUCAGACGUGAAAACCCCAGGCUCAACCAUGGGACUGGGUUUGAAACUGUCAAACUAGAGUACGGGAGAGGUAAGAGGAAUGCCUAGUGUAGCGGUGAAAUGCGUAGAUAUUAGGAGGAACACCAGUGGCGAAGGCGUCUUACUGGACCGAAACUGACGUUGAGGCUCGAAAGCGUGGGGAGCAAACAGGAUUAGAUACCCCUGUAGUC